UCAAGUUAUUAAGGGUGCAGGGCGGAUGCCUUGGCACUAGGAGCCGAUGAAGGACGUGAUAAGCUGCGAUAAGCUUCGGGGAGUUGCACGUAAACUUUGAUCCGAAGAUUUCCGAAUGAGGAAACUUCACUUAGAGUAAUGUCUAAGUAUCAUUAAGUGAAUACAUAGCUUAAUGAGGGGAACUCAGGGAACUGAAACAUCUAAGUACCUGAAGGAAGAGAAAGAAAUUCGAUUCCGUAAGUAGCGGCGAGCGAACGCGGAUUAGCCCAAACCAAUAAAGUUUUCUUUAUUGGGGUUGCGGACAUAUCAUAACGAAGAGGUAUCGUAAUUGAAGAGGUUUGGAAAGACCCACCACAGAAGGUAAUAGUCCUGUAUGUUAAACGAGAAGACUUUAGAUAUGAUCCAGAGUACCACGGGACACGUGAAACCCUGUGGGAAGCAGGAGGGACCACCCUCCAAGGCUAAAUACUACCUAGUGACCGAUAGCGUAUAGUACCGUGAGGGAAAGGUGAAAAGAACCCCGGGAGGGGAGUGAAAUAGAACCUGAAACCCUGCACUUACAAGCUGUGGAAGCACAUUUCUUGUGUGACCGCGUACUUUUUGUAGAACGGGCCAACGAGUUACGUUAAGUAGCAAGGUUAAGCACUUAAGGUGCGGAGCCGUAGCGAAAGCGAGUUUUAACUGAGCGUUCAGUUACUUGACGUAGACCCGAAACCGGGCGACCUACCCAUGAGCAGGAUGAAGCGAAAGUAAAAUUUCGUGGAGGUCCGAACCCACGAGCGUUGAAAAGCUCGGGGAUGACUUGUGGGUAGCGGUGAAAUUCCAAUCGAGCCCGGAGAUAGCUGGUUCUCCCCGAAAUAGCUUUAGGGCUAGCCUCAAGGUGAGAGAUACGGAGGUAGAGCACUGAAUGUCCUAGGGGGUAUUGCACCUACCGAAGACUAUCAAACUCCGAAUGCCGUCAUCUUAUACUUGGGAGUCAGACUGUGGGUGAUAAGAUUCAUAGUCGAAAGGGCAACAGCCCAGAUCGUCAGCUAAGGUCCCUAAAUGUAAGUUAAGUGGUAAAGGAUGUGGGAUUGCACAGACAACCAGGAUGUUGGCUUAGAAGCAGCCACUCAUUCAAAGAGUGCGUAAUAGCUCACUGGUCGAGUGAUCCUGCGCCGAAGAUUUCCGGGGCUAAAACUUACUACCGAAGCUACGGCAUCAGUAAUGAUGGGUAGGGGAGCUUCCCAUACGGGUUGAAGCAUGACCGUAAGGACAUGUGGACAGUAUGGGAGUGAGAAUGUUGGCAUGAGUAGCGAGAUGUGGGUGAGAAUCCCACAGGCCGUAAACCCAAGGUUUCCAGGGGAAGGUUCGUCCGCCCUGGGUUAGUCGGGACCUAAGCUGAGGCCGAAAGGCGUAGGUGAUGGACAACAGGUUGAUAUUCCUGUACUACCGAUAACCGUUUGAGAGAAGGGAUGACACAGUAGGAUAAGCUAAGCACACUGUUGGUUAUGUGUGCCCAAGCAUUGAGGCAGUCAAAGUAGGCAAAUCCGCUUUGAUAAUGCUGGGAUGUGAUGGGGAGCGAAAUUUAGUAGCGAAGUAGCUGAUUUCACACUGUCAAGAAAAGUCUCUAUCGAGGUUAAAGGUACCCGUACCGCAAACCGACACAGGUGGGUGAGGAGAGUAUCCUAAGGCCAGCGAGAGAACUGUUGUUAAGGAACUCGGCAAAAUGACCCCGUAACUUAGGGAUAAGGGGUGCCACCAUCAGGUGGCCGCAGAGAAUAGGCCCAAGCGACUGUUUACCAAAAACAUAGGUUUCUGCUAAGUCGCAAGACGAUGUAUAGGAGCUGACGCCUGCCCGGUGCUGGAAGGUUAAGGGGAUCUGUUAGAGCAAUCGAAGCAGUGAACUUAAGCCCCAGUAAACGGCGGCCGUAACUAUAACGGUCCUAAGGUAGCGAAAUUCCUUGUCGGGUAAGUUCCGACCCGCACGAAAGGCGUAACGAUUUGGGCACUGUCUCAACAACAGACUCGGUGAAAUUGUAAUUCCGGUGAAGAUGCCGGAUACCUGCGACAGGACGGAAAGACCCCAUGGAGCUUUACUGUAGCUUGACAUUGGGUCUUGGUACUACAUGUACAGGAUAGGUGGGAGGCUUUGAAACCAGGACGCCAGUUUUGGCGGAGCCAUCCUUGGGAUACCACCCUUGUAGUACUGGGACUCUAACCAUAGGCCAUGAAUCUGGUCUUGGGACACUGUCAGGUGGGCAGUUUGACUGGGGCGGUCGCCUCCCAAAAGGUAACGGAGGCGCUCAAAGGUUCUCUCAGUACGGUCGGAAAUCGUACGUAGAGUGUAAAGGCAAAAGAGAGCUUGAUUGCAAGACAUACAGGUCGAGCAAGGAUGAAAAUCGGACUUAGUGAUCCGGUGGUUCUGCGUGGAAGGGCCAUCGCUCAACGGAUAAAAGCUACCCUGGGGAUAACAGGCUUAUCUCCCCCAAGAGUCCACAUCGACGGGGAGGUUUGGCACCUCGAUGUCGGCUCAUCACAUCCUGGGGCUGUAGUAGGUCCCAAGGGUUGGGCUGUUCGCCCAUUAAAGUGGUACGCGAGCUGGGUUCAGAACGUCGUGAGACAGUUCGGUCCCUAUCCGUCGCAGGCGUAGGAAAUUUGAGAAGACCUGUCCUUAGUACGAGAGGACCGGGAUGGACGUACCUCUGGUGUACCAGUUGUCCUGCCAAGGGCAUGGCUGGGUAGCUAUGUACGGAAUGGAUAAGCGCUGAAAGCAUCUAAGCGCGAAGCCAACUUCAAGAUAAGAUUUCCCACCGCAAGGGUAAGACCCCAGAAAGACUAUCUGGUUGAUAGGUCGAAGGUGUAAGUG
This 2848-nucleotide ribosomal RNA is filed under the name Clostridioides difficile. Its description in RNAcentral is "bacterial LSU rRNA". It matches the Rfam family "Bacterial large subunit ribosomal RNA". Lineage: Bacteria; Bacillati; Bacillota; Clostridia; Peptostreptococcales; Peptostreptococcaceae. The record is from RNAcentral.